UACGGAGGGGACUAGCGUUAUUCGGAAUUACUGGGCGUAAAGCGCGCGUAGGCGGAUUUAUAAGUCAGGGGUGAAAGCACGUGGCUCAACGUCGGAACUGCCUUUGAUACUGCAAAUCUCGAGACUGGAAGAGGUGAGUGGAAUUCCUAGUGUAGAGGUGAAAUUCGUAGAUAUUAGAUAGAACACCAGUUGCGAAGGCGGCUCGCUGGUCUGGUACUGACGCUGAGGUGCGAAAGCGUGGGGAGCAAACAGG
RNAcentral lists this ribosomal RNA (253 nucleotides) under uncultured bacterium. Its description in RNAcentral is "partial 16S ribosomal RNA". It matches the Rfam family "Bacterial small subunit ribosomal RNA", at positions 524 to 776 of the family's 1533-position model. The record is from RNAcentral.